This 253-nucleotide ribosomal RNA is filed under the name uncultured bacterium. Its description in RNAcentral is "partial 16S ribosomal RNA". It matches the Rfam family "Bacterial small subunit ribosomal RNA", at positions 524 to 776 of the family's 1533-position model. The record is from RNAcentral.
CACGUAGGGCGCAAGCGUUGUCCGGAAUUAUUGGGCGUAAAGAGCUCGUAGGCGGUCUGUUGCGUCUGCUGUGAAAACCCGGGGCUUAACCCCUGGCUUGCAGUGGAUACGGACAGACUAGAGGUAGGUAGAGGAGAAUGGAAUUCCCGGUGUAGCGGUGAAAUGCGCAGAUAUCGGGAGGAACACCGGUGGCGAAGGCGGUUCUCUGGGCCUUACCUGACGCUGAGGAGCGAAAGCGUGGGGAGCGAACAGG